Molecule: ribosomal RNA, 427 nt
Filed under: uncultured bacterium
Lineage: Bacteria
Description: bacterial SSU rRNA
Rfam family: Bacterial small subunit ribosomal RNA
Source: RNAcentral
UGGGGAAUUUUGGACAAUGGGCGCAAGCCUGAUCCAGCCAUGCCGCGUGCAGGAUGAAGGCCUUCGGGUUGUAAACUGCUUUUGUACGGAACGAAAAGACUCCUUCUAAUAAAGGGGGUCCAUGACGGUACCGUAAGAAUAAGCACCGGCUAACUACGUGCCAGCAGCCGCGGUAAUACGUAGGGUGCGAGCGUUAAUCGGAAUUACUGGGCGUAAAGCGUGCGCAGGCGGUUUUGUAAGACAGGCGUGAAAUCCCCGGGCUCAACCUGGGAACUGCGUUUGUGACUGCAUAGCUAGAGUACGGUAGAGGGGGGUGGAAUUCAGCGUGUAGCAGUGAAAUGCGUAGAUAUGCGGAGGAACACCGAUGGCGAAGGCAAUCCCCUGGACCUGUACUGACGCUCAUGCACGAAAGCGUGGGGAGCAAACA